This is a non-coding RNA of Acanthosepion pharaonis, 113 nucleotides long. The record is from the annotation of a GenBank genome assembly. NCBI's taxonomy places the organism in Eukaryota, Metazoa, Mollusca, Cephalopoda, Sepiida, Sepiidae.
UCCGGUCAUAUCACAUUGAAACACCGGUUCCCGUAUGAUUAAUGGAGUUAAGCAACGUCGUGCCUGGUCAAUACCUAGAUGGGUGAACGCUUGGAGGUACCAGGUGCUGUAAG